AGCCAGACUCCUACGGGAGGCAGCAGUGGGGGAUAUUGGACAAUGGGGGAAACCCUGAUCCAGCGAUGCCGCGUGAGGGAAGAAGGUUUUCGGAUUGUAAACCUCUGUGGACAGGGACGAUAAUGACGGUACCUGUCAAGAAAGCCACGGCUAACUACGUGCCAGCAGCCGCGGUAAUACGUAGGGGGCAAGCGUUAUCCGGAUUUACUGGGUGUAAAGGGAGCGUAGGCGGUUUAGCAAGUCAGAAGUGAAAGCCCGGGGCUCAACUCCGGGACUGCUUUUGAAACUGUUGAACUAGAUUGCAGGAGAGGUAAGUGGAAUUCCUAGUGUAGCGGUGAAAUGCGUAGAUAUUAGGAGGAACACCGGUGGCGAAGGCGGCUUACUGGACCAUAACUGACGUUGAGGCUCGAAAGCGUGGGGAGCGAACAGGAUUAGAUACCCCAGUAC
RNAcentral lists this ribosomal RNA (447 nucleotides) under uncultured bacterium. Its description in RNAcentral is "bacterial SSU rRNA". It matches the Rfam family "Bacterial small subunit ribosomal RNA", at positions 329 to 793 of the family's 1533-position model. The record is from RNAcentral.